CACACUAUCAUUACGUGAAUACAUAGCGUAAUGAAGCGAACCGGGGGAACUGAAACAUCUAAGUACCCCGAGGAAAAGAAAUCAACCGAGAUUCCCCCAGUAGCGGCGAGCGAACGGGGAGCAGCCCAGAGUCUGAAUCAGCUUGUGUGUUAGUGGAACGGUCUGGAAAGUCCGACGGUACAGGGUGAUAGUCCCGUACACCAAAAUGCACAGGUUGUGAACUCGAAGAGUAGGGCGGGACACGUGGUAUCCUGUCUGAAUAUGGGGGGACCAUCCUCCAAGGCUAAAUACUCCUGACUGACCGAUAGUGAACCAGUACCGUGAGGGAAAGGCGAAAAGAACCCCGGCGAGGGGAGUGAAAAAGAACCUGAAACCGUGUACGUACAAGCAGUGGGAGCCUCUUUAUGGGGUGACUGCGUACCUUUUGUAUAAUGGGUCAGCGACUUAUAUUCUGUAGCAAGGUUAACCGUAUAGGGGAGCCGAAGGGAAACCGAGUCUUAACUGGGCGUUAAGUUGCAGGGUAUAGACCCGAAACCCGGUGAUCUAGCCAUGGGCAGGUUGAAGGUUGGGUAACACUAACUGGAGGACCGAACCGACUAAUGUUGAAAAAUUAGCGGAUGACUUGUGGCUGGGGGUGAAAGGCCAAUCAAACCGGGAGAUAGCUGGUUCUCCCCGAAAGCUAUUUAGGUAGCGCCUCGUGAAUUCAUCUUCGGGGGUAGAGCACUGUUUCGGCUAGGGGGUCAUCCCGACUUACCAACCCGAUGCAAACUGCGAAUACCGAAGAAUGUUAUCACGGGAGACACACGGCGGGUGCUAACGUCCGUCGUGAAGAGGGAAACAACCCAGACCGCCAGCUAAGGUCCCAAAGUCAUGGUUAAGUGGGAAACGAUGUGGGAAGGCACAGACAGCCAGGAUGUUGGCUUAGAAGCAGCCAUCAUUUAAAGAAAGCGUAAUAGCUCACUGGUCGAGUCGGCCUGCGCGGAAGAUGUAACGGGGCUAAACCAUGCACCGAAGCUGCGGCAGCGACACUAUGUGUUGUUGGGUAGGGGAGCGUUCUGUAAGCCGUUGAAGGUGUANNNNNNNNNNNNNNNNNNNNNNNNNNNNNNNNNNNNNNNNNNNNNNNNNNNNNNNNNNNNNNNNNNNNNNNNNNNNNNNNNNNNNNNNNNNNNNNNNNNNUAGGGGAGCGUUCUGUAAGCCGUUGAAGGUGUACUGUGAGGUAUGCUGGAGGUAUCAGAAGUGCGAAUGCUGACAUAAGUAACGAUAAUGCGGGUGAAAAACCCGCACGCCGGAAGACCAAGGGUUCCUGUCCAACGUUAAUCGGGGCAGGGUGAGUCGACCCCUAAGGCGAGGCCGAAAGGCGUAGUCGAUGGGAAACAGGUUAAUAUUCCUGUACUUGGUGUUACUGCGAAGGGGGGACGGAGAAGGCUAUGUUAGCCGGGCGACGGUUGUCCCGGUUUAAGCAUGUAGGCGGAGGUUCCAGGUAAAUCCGGUACCUUUUAACGCUGAGGUGUGAUGACGAGGCACUACGGUGCUGAAGUAACAAAUGCCCUGCUUCCAGGAAAAGCCUCUAAGCAUCAGGUAACACGAAAUCGUACCCCAAACCGACACAGGUGGUCAGGUAGAGAAUACCAAGGCGCUUGAGAGAACUCGGGUGAAGGAACUAGGCAAAAUGGUGCCGUAACUUCGGGAGAAGGCACGCUGAUAUGUAGGUGAAGUGAUUUACUCAUGGAGCUGAAAUCAGUCGAAGAUACCAGCUGGCUGCAACUGUUUAUUAAAAACACAGCACUGUGCAAACACGAAAGUGGACGUAUACGGUGUGACGCCUGCCCGGUGCCGGAAGGUUAAUUGAUGGGGUUAUCCGUAAGGAGAAGCUCUUGAUCGAAGCCCCGGUAAACGGCGGCCGUAACUAUAACGGUCCUAAGGUAGCGAAAUUCCUUGUCGGGUAAGUUCCGACCUGCACGAAUGGCGUAAUGAUGGCCAGGCUGUCUCCACCCGAGACUCAGUGAAAUUGAACUCGCUGUGAAGAUGCAGUGUACCCGCGGCAAGACGGAAAGACCCCGUGAACCUUUACUAUAGCUUGACACUGAACACUGGUCCUUGAUGUGUAGGAUAGGUGGGAGGCUUUGAAGUGUGGACGCCAGUCUGCAUGGAGCCAUCCUUGAAAUACCACCCUUUAAUGGCUGGUGUUCUAACGUGGACCCGUAAUCCGGGUUGCGGACAGUGUCUGGUGGGUAGUUUGACUGGGGCGGUCUCCUCCUAAAGAGUAACGGAGGAGCACGAAGGUUAGCUAAUCCUGGUCGGACAUCAGGAGGUUAGUGCAAAGGCAUAAGCUAGCUUGACUGCGAGAGUGACGGCUCGAGCAGGUGCGAAAGCAGGUCUUAGUGAUCCGGUGGUUCUGAAUGGAAGGGCCAUCGCUCAACGGAUAAAAGGUACUCCGGGGAUAACAGGCUGAUACCGCCCAAGAGUUCAUAUCGACGGCGGUGUUUGGCACCUCGAUGUCGGCUCAUCACAUCCUGGGGCUGAAGUAGGUCCCAAGGGUAUGGCUGUUCGCCAUUUAAAGUGGUACGCGAGCUGGGUUUAGAACGUCGUGAGACAGUUCGGUCCCUAUCUGCCGUGGGCGCUGGAGAAUUGAGGGGGGCUGCUCCUAGUACGAGAGGACCGGAGUGGACGCAUCACUGGUGUUCGGGUUGUCAUGCCAAUGGCAUUGCCCGGUAGCUAAAUGCGGAAGAGAUAAGUGCUGAAAGCAUCUAAGCACGAAACUUGCCCCGAGAUGAGUUCUCCCUGAGACU
RNAcentral lists this ribosomal RNA (2789 nucleotides) under Citrobacter freundii. RNAcentral describes it as "partial 23S ribosomal RNA". It matches the Rfam family "Bacterial large subunit ribosomal RNA". The record is from RNAcentral. Lineage: Bacteria; Pseudomonadati; Pseudomonadota; Gammaproteobacteria; Enterobacterales; Enterobacteriaceae.